RNAcentral lists this ribosomal RNA (641 nucleotides) under uncultured bacterium. Its description in RNAcentral is "bacterial SSU rRNA". It matches the Rfam family "Bacterial small subunit ribosomal RNA", at positions 863 to 1504 of the family's 1533-position model. The record is from RNAcentral.
AGUGUUCCGCCUGGGGAGUACGCACGCAAGUGUGAAACUCAAAGGAAUUGACGGGGGCCCGCACAAGCGGUGGAGUAUGUGGUUUAAUUCGAUGCAACGCGAAGAACCUUACCAGGGUUUGACAUCCUGCGAACCUCUUAGAAAUUUGAGGGUGCCUUCGGGAAUGCAGUGACAGGUGGUGCAUGGCUGUCGUCAGCUCGUGUCGUGAGAUGUUGGGUUAAGUCCCGCAACGAGCGCAACCCACGUUUUUAGUUGCCAGCAUUUAGUUGGGCACUCUAGAAAGACCGCCGGUGAUAAACCGGAGGAAGGUGUGGAUGACGUCAAGUCAUCAUGCCCCUUACACCCUGGGCUACACACGUACUACAAUGCUACGGACAAAGGGCAGCAAACUCGCGAGAGCUAGCAAAUCCCAUAAACCGUGGCUCAGUUCAGAUCGUAGGCUGCAACUCGCCUACGUGAAGUAGGAAUCGCUAGUAAUCGCAGGUCAGCAUACUGCGGUGAAUACGUUCCCGGGCCUUGUACACACCGCCCGUCACACCAUGGAAGUUGGCCAUGCCCGAAGUCGUUACUCCAACCCUUGUGGAGGAGGACGCCGAAGGUGGGGCUAAUGACUGGGGUGAAGUCAUAACAAGGUAGCCGUA